UUUUCCUCAGCAGUCUUGUCCGGGACCCAGCCCAGUACCCAAGGCUCAACUCCACAUCACUUCCAGGUUCCUGGAAACCAAAGUGAAAAGGGAAACAAUCAGCUACAAGAAACAGUAUUGCACCAUGGUUACAAGAGCAGGUUUUGGCGUAAGACAGCUACUUCCUGACUGCAAGACCUCAGCUGACACAAGGAGGACCAGUGGGUACUGCAAAGAGGCCAGCUCCAGCCCCAGCCCAACAUGGGAAGCAGCUCAGUGCAUCAGUAAGGGAGCAACAUGAAAACACCUCUCAGAUCUUCUGGUUCUGCUGCUUACCUGCUGUGUGUCCUUGAACGAGCUACUUUUCCUGUCUUCUGUGGCUCUGCCUGUUCCCCAAGGAACCACCACUACAUCAAUAUCCUUGGAAAACAAAGAGGAAAAUACAAGCAGCAGUGCAUUACCAUGAAUGACAAGAUAAAGAUGCCCUUGAUUUCCAGCACCGCCACCAUUCAACCAUCAACUACGGGUUCCGAACACUGUGAGAAGAAGAAAGAAAGAAAGAAAAUGGAAAAAGAGAACAGAGAAUUCAAGUAGUGGGAGCUCCAGACAGUCUACAGGAGUCUUGAAGAAAGCGUUCAUGGUAUCGACACCGAUGAAGGUAAACCUUUCUUCCUCCGUGGCCUGAGCAGUCAGCUCAGCCUGCUGUCACUUUGGAGUCAGACACAAAAGAAAAUUCCUCCCGUAGCCCUGUGACUUAGGUCUGUGUGACCUUGAGCAAAGUUAACUUCUGGGAACCUUGGUGUCCUGAGGAAAUGGGCAUCAUAGCUCCUUGCAGGAGCUUGCACACCUAAAUGAAGGCUGCAAGGCUCACAUGAUCUGAGCAGCCUAGGGAGCUGCCCAGAAUCUGAAGCUAAGCCGGUAGACCCUUGACACUAGCUGUGGGCCCUGGACAGUUGCCCGUCCAUGCCUCAGUUUUCUUGUCUAUGAAAUGGGAAUAUUGCUACCUGCUCAAAGGGUCCUGAUGGAGUUUAGAAUAAGCCAAUAGUACAAAGUACUGAAACAAUGCCUGGCAGAAAAGUGCCGUAUGAGCAUUUGUUAAAUUAAAACUUAAUAUGAAAAGGCAAGUGUUUUCUCAUAUCCUCAUAAGAGGGACUCUUUUUUUUUUUUUUUUUUUUUGGUCUUUUUUGUCUUUUUAGGGCUGCACCCGUGGCACAUGGAAGUUCCCAGGCCAGGGUCGAAUCGGAGCUGUAGCUGCCAGCCUGCACCACCGCCACAGCCACAGCCACAGCCACACAGAUCUGAGCCGCAUCUUCGACCUAUACCACAACUCACACAACGCCGGAUCCUGACCCACUAAGCAAGGCUAGGGAUCAAACCCGAAACCUCAUGGUUCCUAGUCGGAUUCGUUUCCCCUGCACCACGACGGUAAACUCCGUAAGAGGGACUCAAGGACUUAGAAGUUGAUCAAAAGAAUUUUGAUUGUAUAAAAUGCAUCAAUGUUGGUUUUAGCAAGGGGAAAUUUGCUUUUCUGACAGAUGCUACAGUCUGAAGAUUCUGGGAGUCUGAGAACUUCCUCCCUGCCUGACUCAGUGUGGACAGAAAGAGAGUUUGAGGAGAGACGGAAGAUUCUGAGGGCUCAGUGACUGGCUGACAGUGAGAAUGUUUUCUUUCUGGUGAUAAAUUGUCAACUGCCCAUCUUUCCAACCUCAUGGGCCUAAGUGGGAGGCGUGGCCAUGCCCAGCUCCUGACUUGGAACAGAUGUUGAGUCAUUCACCUCCACUGACGGGAUUAGGGUUAUUCCAGGCCUAGGACCAGGCAUUCCUGGGCCAUGACCGCAGGUUGUGCUGAUUGAAGUCUAAUUUCUGCAGGCCUCUAGCUCACAUCUGCUGAUCACUGAGCUCUCUCAUUCCUUUGGACAGAAAUAAUAAUAAUAAUGAACACCGGUACGUAUCCGGCUCUCUGCGGCUAGGCAACCAGGAACACAGAGAUGAGCUCAUGGAAAAAUGAGAUUAACAAAUGGAACUUUGCAGUCCUGUUAGGUGGGAGCACGAAAGAGACAUUUCAGAUAACCAGGGGCUGAGUGUAGAAAGUUAAGGAACCUUCUCUGUGUGCUAAGCCUAACUCCAAGAAUGUUGCUUUAUUAACUCAUUGGACCCUUACAGUCACUCAGCGGGGUAGGUGGUCUGGCCCUAAUUUACAGCCAGGGAAAGCAAAGAACAGAGAGGUUAAGCCACUUACUUAAAGUCACACAGCUAGAAGGGGUAGAAUCAAUGUGCAGCCAGACAGUGAGGCUCCAGAACCUGGGCUCUCUGCCUCUCAGCCGGGCUGAGGUGUCCUGGUUGGUGGCCCAUCGCAUUUCACCUUUGGGUCCUCGAUUCCCUCAACAAUGGAAAAGAGAGUGAGAUCUGCCUUGAAUGCUGACCCUGGACCCCUGUCAGGAGAGAGGAUCUCACCUUACCCUCAGGGCCCCGUUGCUCCAGGUUAUUGCUAUGAAUGAAAAAUGACCCCCACCCUAUCAGUAAACAAAGCAGAUUGCAGCCAUCAAACCCUCAGCCAGAGCAGUCCCCCAACUGGGCACCCUGAGGGGAUUUGGGGUGAGAAAGGCAGCAGGGCACACAGUUGAGGUGCAGAGUGAUUUCAGUGAGCUCAGACCCUUGCAUCUUUGCAGAGAGAGAAAAGCAGAGCUAAAUCCAUUAACGGGAGAUGUCCGGUUUUCUUUAAUUACUCGUAAUCUUUUCUUGUUCUAGCUACCUAGUUUUCAUGGCAAAGCUCCUACGUAUCCUGGCUCCUCCCUUACCUCUUUGGAGCCAUCCCUCAGAGCGAUCUGAGACUGUCCUCUUGGCUUAAGUCCUCAGAUUUGACCCCUAACCUGAGAACUUCCAUAUGCUGUGGGUGCAGCCCUAAAAAGACCAAAAAAAAAAAAAAAAAAAAUCACCAAACAAACAAGAGAACUCCAAAUUUCAUAUCAUUUUUACUGUGCCAAAUCGGCCAUGGAACCACUCAAGGCAAAUCCUCGGGCCCCAUAACUCAGAGCUUCUGUUGCAUCAAUGGCCAAAAAAAACUGAGGGCGAGGAAUAAUAAAUAACAAAGAUAAUAGUGGCA
Molecule: long non-coding RNA, 3081 nt
Filed under: Sus scrofa (pig)
Lineage: Eukaryota; Metazoa; Chordata; Mammalia; Artiodactyla; Suidae
Description: lncRNA (ENSSSCG00070004746.1)
Source: RNAcentral